UACGUAGGGACCAAGCGUUGUUCGGAUUUACUGGGCGUAAAGGGCGCGUAGGCGGCGUGACAAGUCACUUGUGAAAUCUCUGAGCUUAACUCAGAACGGCCAAGUGAAACUGUUGUGCUAGAGUGCAGAAGGGGCAAUCGGAAUUCUUGGUGUAGCGGUGAAAUGCGUAGAUAUCAAGAGGAACACCUGAGGUGAAGACGGGUUGCUGGGCUGGCACUGACGCUGAGGCGCGAAAGCGUGGGGAGCGAACCGG
RNAcentral lists this ribosomal RNA (253 nucleotides) under uncultured bacterium. RNAcentral's name for it is "partial 16S ribosomal RNA". It matches the Rfam family "Bacterial small subunit ribosomal RNA", at positions 524 to 776 of the family's 1533-position model. The record is from RNAcentral.